GGCCUCGUGGCCCAAUGGCAAGGCGUCUGACUACGAGAUAGAGUCAAUAUCCACGAUUGACUCUGCAUGAUAAUCAGGAGAUUCUGGGUUCGACCCCCAGCGAGGUCA
Molecule: non-coding RNA, 108 nt
Organism: Xylaria scruposa
Lineage: Eukaryota; Fungi; Ascomycota; Sordariomycetes; Xylariales; Xylariaceae
Source: the annotation of a GenBank genome assembly